Molecule: ribosomal RNA, 274 nt
Filed under: uncultured bacterium
Lineage: Bacteria
Description: partial 16S ribosomal RNA
Rfam family: Bacterial small subunit ribosomal RNA
Source: RNAcentral
AUACGAACUGUGCAAACGUUAUUCGGAAUCACUGGGCUUAAAGGGUGCGUAGGCGGGUUUGAAGGUCUGAUGUGAAAGCCCACGGCUCAAUCGUGGAAUUGCGUUGGAAACCACAAGCCUUGAGGGAGUCAGAGGUGAGCGGAACUAAUGGUGGAGCGGUGAAAUGCGUUGAUAUCAUUAGGAACACCGGUGGCGAAAGCGGCUCACUGGGACUCUUCUGACGCUGAGGCACGAAAGCUAGGGGAGCGAACGGGAUUAGAAACCCCAGUAGUCC